CAAUAGCGUAUAUUAAAGUUGUUGCAGUUAAAAAGCUCGUAGUUGGAUUUCUGGUGGGAGCGACCGGUCGGCGCUUAACGGCGUGUGCACUGGAGUUGUCUCUUGCCAUCCUUGAGGAGAACGUGUCUGGCAUUAAGUUGUCGGGCUUGGGAUCCUCAUCGUUUACUGUGAAAAAAUUAGAGUGUUUAAAGCAGGCAUUUGCUGUGAAUACAUUAGCAUGGAAUAAUAAGAUAGGACUUUGGUGCUAUUUUGUUGGUUUGCGUACCAAGGUAAUGAUUAAUAGGGAUAGUUGGGGGUAUUCGUAUUCAAUUGUCAGAGGUGGAAUUCUUGGAUUUAUGGAAGACGAACAACUGCGAAAGCAUUUACCAAGGAUGUUUUCAUUAA
Molecule: ribosomal RNA, 384 nt
Filed under: uncultured eukaryote
Lineage: Eukaryota
Description: partial 18S ribosomal RNA
Rfam family: Eukaryotic small subunit ribosomal RNA
Source: RNAcentral